GGCAACUUGCCAGAGUGGUUAAUGGGUGAGACUCGAAUAUGCUAUACGCAAUUCAGCCAUCUCAUGGCUUCGGCCGCGUAGGUUCAAAUCCUGCAGUUGUCG
RNAcentral lists this transfer RNA (102 nucleotides) under Truncatella angustata. It matches the Rfam family "tRNA". Rfam says of the family: Transfer RNA (tRNA) molecules are approximately 80 nucleotides in length. Their secondary structure includes four short double-helical elements and three loops (D, anti-codon, and T loops). Further hydrogen bonds mediate the characteristic L-shaped molecular structure. tRNAs have two regions of fundamental functional importance: the anti-codon, which is responsible for specific mRNA codon recognition, and the 3' end, to which the tRNAs corresponding amino acid is attached (by aminoacyl-tRNA synthetases). tRNAs cope with the degeneracy of the genetic code in two manners: having more than one tRNA (with a specific anti-codon) for a particular amino acid; and 'wobble' base-pairing, i.e. permitting non-standard base-pairing at the 3rd anti-codon position. Lineage: Eukaryota; Fungi; Ascomycota; Sordariomycetes; Amphisphaeriales; Sporocadaceae. The record is from Rfam by way of RNAcentral.